CGGGGCGUGGCUCAGCCCGGUAGAGCACCUGCUUUGGGAGCAGGGGGUCGUAGGUUCAAAUCCUAUCGCCCCGACCA
RNAcentral lists this transfer RNA (77 nucleotides) under bacterium. RNAcentral's name for it is "tRNA-Pro". It matches the Rfam family "tRNA". From Rfam's summary of the family: Transfer RNA (tRNA) molecules are approximately 80 nucleotides in length. Their secondary structure includes four short double-helical elements and three loops (D, anti-codon, and T loops). RNAcentral also lists the same sequence under 2 other names. The record is from RNAcentral.